GCCUGGGGAAAAUCCUAUGUCUCAGUCACUUAACCUGUAAAAAGUUAUGAGUAGGAAGCAGGCAACUCAGGACAUUUCCAGAAAGUGUUGUCAGCAACAAAACACAGUCACUGGGUAAUGUGAUGCUCUGCUGCAUCUGUUACUCAUGAACUAGGAAGAACUGAUUGGAAUGUGACUGUAGCUACUAUUAAGCAGUGCAUUUCAACAUCAUAAAUGGAGAGAGGAGGGCAAAUGGCAAGGUACAGACACCAGGCUUGAGGCAACAAGACUCCAACUUACUCAGGAAGGUGGUUGUUGGGAUCUUUUUGGAGGCAGCUUAAGAAAACCAGGACAACCUUUUUGGGCAACCAUCUUGCAAGCUCAGGAAUGGUCUACUCCAAUACUCAGAUUUCCAUGACUCAAAAAGAAAAACAACCAAGUGCUCCUAUACCCAGCUGGUGUAAAUACAGCACAGUUGAUCUAAUGUAACCAAACAGCUCAAGAUCCAACAACUGAUAACAAGAAUUGCUGUGGGAGUAUUUCAGAGUAAUGUAGAUGUCAGAGGCCAAUGCUGAGUCUGGAGCCAGCCCAAAUGCAAGGAACGAAGCCCUCAGUGUCUGUCCUGGCUUAUCUCACUUGUGCUGCAAUGUGACUGCUUGAAGCAGAUACAUUUAAGGACUAACUAUGUGAUCAAACACACGGCAGAAAUCACUCAUGCUUUGACCAUGUUUUACAUGCACACAAAGUAGUCAGAAGAAACUCAUCCAGCUGUGGCUGUCUCAGCAAUAAGGAAAAACAGAUAUAUGAGGGCUACUCCAAAAGUAAUCCUUCCUAUGUGGGCUUAUAGUGUCAGAAGCGGAUGUUGGUAGGGCAGUAGAGGCUGAACCUUCCUACCAAUA
RNAcentral lists this long non-coding RNA (878 nucleotides) under Coturnix japonica (Japanese quail). RNAcentral's name for it is "lncRNA (ENSCJPG00005019589.1)". Lineage: Eukaryota; Metazoa; Chordata; Aves; Galliformes; Phasianidae. The record is from RNAcentral.